RNAcentral lists this long non-coding RNA (2650 nucleotides) under Homo sapiens (human). Its description in RNAcentral is "HSALNT0200697". The record is from RNAcentral. Lineage: Eukaryota; Metazoa; Chordata; Mammalia; Primates; Hominidae.
GAAAAAGGGAGGGGAGCCUAGAAAGGGGACUGCAGGAGCCAGGGUGAGAGGACAGGCAGCAGCUUUAACUAGGAUGCCAAGAUUAUAAUUUCCACAUGGUGAGGCACCCCUUCUGCCGUGUUUUGCCCUAUUCCCGGAGCCUAGGACACAGCCUUUAUGGAGUGUAGCCUGAUAAUGUAGUUACUGAAUGAAACAAAUCUUCCUGGCACACGUUCUUCACCCCUGAAAACAACAUGGAUGAUGAGUGCAGACUGCAAAACAGCUCACUGGCAAUUGCUCUCAAUUCACUCAAACCCUGCGAAGACUGAUGCCUUGUCAUGAAGACAUAAGAGAGAUAUAAAAGAGCGAAACACCACACAUGAAGCUAAGAACUGUUAGGGAGGAAGAAAAGACGGGAAGAGAGCAACAUACAUCAUCCUAUUACGGAGGCAAGGAAAGGGGAGAAGAGAUAAAGACCAGGAGGGAAACGCGGACGGGAGCUGAUGAGGCAUCACCAUGCAAGAACAUUGCUCCAGAUGGCCGAAGGGAAGGUGCUGGCAUCGCUGCACUCAGGAUUAUUAUCCUAUAACUAGCAAAGCAUAUUUACUAAGGAGAGGCUGGUUUUUCUUCCGUACUAAGAAGGAUAAUUUCAGCUAAUUAAUUUGUUCUGCUGAACUGACAGCCACCGAGGAUGUGUCUGCAUGCCUUAUAAGCAUAUUCUUGGUUCAUUUACUGAGAUCCCACAGAGAAGUUCAAUAUCUAGAGUUAAGCAAAUAAAAAAUAAGUUGUUCUUGUUUCAAGGACCAAGCUCGGGACAUGAAAAGCAUCAAAGUGCUCUAAGCAGGAGGACAAUGACAUGCAACAUCUGAGGCAUUGUUAAGGCCUGGCCUACUCAAUGCAUAUUGUCACACGCCAACCAUUUUCCAGAUACCUAGGUUCAUGCUAAAGGUACAGAUAUCAGCACAGCUCCACCCUGAAAUAAAUCACAGUAUAAUGAGGCAGACACACCCAGAAACAACUCUGACACAGGGCAAAAAGAAAUGAGUUGCUAAACACAAAAUUAAGCUACAUGACAUGGGAAUACAAGGAAGGAAUGCAAACAGGAGAAGGGUGUUCAACACUUUGUGUUUGUGCACAUCUUAUCACUGUGCUAUGCAAAUCUCUACAUUCAUACAGAGCUGCAUACAAACGAGGGUAGGUUGGUGAUAUGAUAAACAAAAUACCAUCCUAGAGAUUGAAAGUAUGGAACUUCCUACAAACAUUGGCCAAGUGGUAUGUGGUAAAUGAGGACAACACUGCAAAUAGCGCCACUGCCUGUGGCCACCCGAUGCAGUGCUCACCCAGGAGGGCUGCUCUGCUGGGGAGCUGCAGGAUGGCACCAAUAGCUCUGCUUCGAGCCCAGGUCAAUAAUAAGAAGAGGGGUUGCCAUUUCCAGCAAGAGGUUGCAAACAUCAUUUCUCUGGGCUCCAAUUGUCUGAUGGUGCCCUGUUCUACAGAAGGGUCAACUAUACAACAGACAGGUGUGUGUAAAGCUGGAUGCUUAAGAAAUGUGACAAGGUUAGAGGGAAAACAUGCUCCAAAGCAAAGUUUCAGUGUGGUAAUUGAAGAUGAACAUGGGGUCAUUUUAAAACCAUGUCUGAAUCCCAACAGAGCAUGUUCCGACAUGGUUCAGCUUGACUGCUUUAUGUAAACAUGAAAAUGCCAUCGCCUGGCAAAACAAACUUCUCCCAGGAGAGCCUGUUCUCUCAACACAACAAGAGGAAAGGGAUAGUGGAAGCAGGAGAGUUGAGACCAUGAAGUCAUGAAGUUCAAGAAUGCCUUCCUUUGAAGGUUUAAUACAGAAAAGCUUUCGGGGGAAGGAGGAGAGUUUAAAGAAGUCCUGGUUCUCCGGCAUCCACAGUAAUACCUUUGCCUUGAAGGAGAAAGAUGGCCUUGGCUAUCAAGAAUGGGGAGAAAAGGCAGAAGCUACCACCCAAAAUUUUCAGAGCACCAACCAAAUCAAAGGAAAUAAAUACUAAUGGGUGAAGUAGAGUUUAAAAAUAACACAAGUAAUGUACACUCUCCCCUUACUAUUGUUUUUAAUUUUUAAUUUUUUAAUUGACAGUUUGUACAUAUUUAUAGGAUACAAUUUGAUAUUUUGAUACAUAUGUAUGUUGUAAAAUGAUCAAAUCAGGGCACUUAGUGUGUCCAUGAUCUCAUGCAUUUAUCAUUUAUUUGUAGUGAGAAUAUUCCAAAGCCUCUUAUCUAGCUAUUUUGUAAGGUACACUAUCAUCUUACUGUCAACCACAGUCACUCCACUGUAUAACAGAACAUCAAAACAUAUUCCUCUUAUCUAAUUGUAACUUUGUAUUUGCUGUUGCUAGUUCUAUCAUUUUAACAGAGAGAGAAAUAAACUUCCAGCUACAACAAUCAUGGAAUCACAGCUCUAUGUCUCCCACCUAAAAAUAUUUCCUACACAAAAUGCAAGGUAGACGUAGGUUUCAAAACUUAUCUGCACUCUAUUUUAUGAUCUUUGUUUUCAUUUUCAUAUAUGUGAGCAUAUUUCUAUUAUGUUAUUAAAAUGUGGUAGUAAUUGCUGCAUGGUAUUUAUUCCAAACUCCAAAACCUUCAAAUCCUGUAUCACUGAACAAACUGUUUCAAAUUUCCCAUUAAUCUUAUGUUAAAAAUAAAC